Long non-coding RNA from Miniopterus natalensis, 1555 nucleotides. RefSeq lists it as uncharacterized. The record is from RefSeq and is a predicted model, not a curated record. Lineage: Eukaryota; Metazoa; Chordata; Mammalia; Chiroptera; Miniopteridae.
ACUUUAUUGUUGCUGCCAGCCGGCUUUCUUUGGGAGAAGACUAUGUGUGCUUGAAUAGAUUUUCUGAUGGAAUAGAGACUGACAUGCUACUGAAGAAGAAAGAAAUGUAUGCAUUUAUCACGUAUUUCUCAGCUUACCUGGGAUGUUUAAAACAUCACUGCUUACGCUUUUAAGUUCUUUGAUUUUGUUUUUAUUCAUUUGUCAUAGAAUCUUGCUUUUGAUUUAUGGAUGCAACUUGUUCUCAAUUUCUGCUGAGAAUAUGAACAUUCUCUGCUGUGUUAACCCUGUUUCAUUAGAAGAAUUUAUUGUCUUUGUUUGAGCUUCUUUUCAGGAUAUUGAGUGUCAUCCAACAUCCCAUUAUCUGACAAUUGUACCAACUUUUGGAACUGAUGGUGUAGAUCCAUGUGUUGCAGCUCGUGUGGACUUCUGUACAGCACUGAGCUAAGGGUCUGUGUAGCUGUGUCAACAGGACAUUCUAAGCUCUCAUUGAUUCCGAAUGCAGUUUGCCAGUUUUCAUGACUGGAGUUGGCUCAGGCAUGAUUACCUAUGAAGGUUUCCUGGAGCAUCCUGCAGAAUUGGAUCUCUAGAAACUAUCGCCUGUCAUGUGUCCUUGUGGAUGCCUCCUGUGCUCCUGAUGGUUCCUUGGCUCCAGUUCUUGCCCAUGGUAUUUGGCAUCUGCCUCACUUGGCUCUGGAUUUCCUUGACCCCUGGCUGCCCCUGCCUGCCCCUGUGACCUGGGUCUUUACCAGCAACUGAGCCUGCUGCUCACUUGCUGCUUUUUAGUACUGACUACAAAUUCCUGGUUUCUAAAUUCUGCUUAGCCUGGCAAUAGGUAUCAGUGGGGACAUAUGUAGGUAAAGCAAAUGGGGGGUUAUAUAACUACCCAAAUAUCUCUUGCCAAAUUCAGUUCAGACAGAAACAUCCAUAUUGAUAUGGGUUGGGUAUAUAGAAAAUGAGCCUUUUGAUCAAAGCUCUUAAUUUAGUAUUUCCAGGGUUUGAUAUGCCAUGCGAUAAAGGAGCCCCAUUUUUGCUUUUUUGAGCAUGCAGCUAUGCCCAGUGCACUGAGUAGAGAGAAUUAAAACAUAAUCUGAAACCCAAAUAUUGAGGAAAGAUAACUGAAAAAAAAGAAAUUACAAAUGGUAUCAUUCUGGACUUAAGGUAAUCUAUAACAGCGAAGUAGUUUCAAAAUUUUAAAAUUUCCGUGUUGUAUUUAGAUGGUUCAGGAACACAGAUUCAAAAUUCCAGUGGACACAUUUAACUCUACAUUAUUCAAGCCUCUGGGUUAGAAUAAGAUUUAGUCUCUCUUUCUCUGCCCCUCCCUUUCUCCGUUACGCCUUCCUUCCCUCUCUUUCCCCUUCCUUCCCUCUCUUUCCCCUUCUCUGUCUCUGUCUCUCUUUUAAGCUGAACAUGUUUAUUGUAGACAUUUGUUAGGAGGAGCUUGAUUUACAACAACUAACUAUAAUGAAUGUCUUCAGGGCAGUGUCUUAUGUAAAACAAGGUUGCUAAAAUUGGAAGAUCUUGCCUACUAAUUUCUUUUUUUAUUCCACCCCCUCCC